UAGUCCACGCCGUAAACGAUGUCUACUAGCCGUUGGGGUACUUGAGACCUUAGUGGCGCAGCUAACGCACUAAGUAGACCGCCUGGGGAGUACGGCCGCAAGGUUAAAACUCAAAUGAAUUGACGGGGGCCCGCACAAGCGGUGGAGCAUGUGGUUUAAUUCGAUGCAACGCGAAGAACCUUACCAGGUCUUGACAUACAGAGAACUUUCCAGAGAUGGAUUGGUGCCUUCGGGAACUCUGAUACAGGUGCUGCAUGGCUGUCGUCAGCUCGUGUCGUGAGAUGUUGGGUUAAGUCCCGCAACGAGCGCAACCCUUGUCUUUAGUUGCCAUCAUUUAGUUGGGCACUCUAGAGAAACUGCCGGUGACAAACCGGAGGAAGGUAAGGAUGACGUCAAGUCAGCAUGCCCCUUACGCUCUGGGCUACACACGUGCUACAAUGGUCGUGACAAAGAGUUGCUAGUCUGCGAAGGCAAGCCGAUCUCAUAAACGCGGCCUUAGUUCGG
Molecule: ribosomal RNA, 504 nt
Filed under: uncultured bacterium
Lineage: Bacteria
Description: bacterial SSU rRNA
Rfam family: Bacterial small subunit ribosomal RNA
Source: RNAcentral